Molecule: transfer RNA, 69 nt
Filed under: Perissonemia borneenis
Lineage: Eukaryota; Metazoa; Arthropoda; Insecta; Hemiptera; Tingidae
Description: tRNA-Met
Rfam family: tRNA
About the family: Transfer RNA (tRNA) molecules are approximately 80 nucleotides in length. Their secondary structure includes four short double-helical elements and three loops (D, anti-codon, and T loops).
Source: RNAcentral
AAAAAGAUAAGCUAAAUUUUAAGCUAUUAGGUUCAUACCCUAAAUAUAGGUUUUUAAUCCUUCUUUUUU